Molecule: ribosomal RNA, 222 nt
Filed under: uncultured bacterium
Lineage: Bacteria
Description: partial 16S ribosomal RNA
Rfam family: Bacterial small subunit ribosomal RNA
Source: RNAcentral
CAGGUGGUUUGUUAAGUCAGAUGUGAAAGCCCGGGGCUCAACCUCGGAAUUGUCAUUUGAAACUGGCAAACUAGAGUACUGUAGAGGGGGUAGAAUUUCAGGUGUAGCGGUGAAAUGCGUAGAGAUCUGAAGGAAUACCGGUGGCGAAGGCGGCCCCCUGGACAGAUACUGACACUCAGAUGCGAAAGCGUGGGGAGCAAACAGGAUUAGAUACCCUGGUAG